UUUCGUUCUUAAAUUAUACAACCAA
This 25-nucleotide ribosomal RNA is filed under the name Eimeria innocua. RNAcentral's name for it is "large subunit ribosomal RNA". Lineage: Eukaryota; Apicomplexa; Conoidasida; Eucoccidiorida; Eimeriidae. The record is from RNAcentral.